GACGAACGCUGGCGGCGUGCUUAACACAUGCAAGUCGAACGGUGAAGCCCAGCUUGCUGGGUGGAUGAGUGGCGAACGGGUGAGUAACACGUGAGUAACCUGCCCCUUCUUCUGGAUAACUGCCUGAAAGGGUAGCUAAUACGGGAUAUUCUGGCCUGCUCGCAUGGGUGGGUUUGGAAAGGUUUUUCUGGUGGGGAUGGGCUCGCGGCCUAUCAGCUUGUUGGUGGGGUGAUGGCCUACCAAGGCUUUGACGGGUAGCCGGCCUGAGAGGGUGGACGGCCACACUGGGACUGAGACACGGCCCAG
Molecule: ribosomal RNA, 306 nt
Filed under: uncultured bacterium
Lineage: Bacteria
Description: bacterial SSU rRNA
Rfam family: Bacterial small subunit ribosomal RNA
Source: RNAcentral